This 396-nucleotide ribosomal RNA is filed under the name uncultured bacterium. RNAcentral's name for it is "partial 16S ribosomal RNA". It matches the Rfam family "Bacterial small subunit ribosomal RNA", at positions 355 to 739 of the family's 1533-position model. The record is from RNAcentral.
UGGGGAAUUUUGGACGAAUUGGGCGAAAGCCUGAUCCAGCAAUGCCGCGUGUGUGAAGAAGGCCUUCGGGUUGUAAAGCACUUUUGUCCGGAAAGAAAUCCUUGGCUCUAAUACAGUCGGGGGAUGACGGUACCGGAAGAAUAAGCACCGGCUAACUACGUGCCAGCAGCCGCGGUAAUACGUAGGGUGCAAGCGUUAAUCGGAAUUACUGGGCGUAAAGCGUGCGCAGGCGGUUUGCUAAGACCGAUGUGAAAUCCCCGGGCUCAACCUGGGAACUGCAUUGGUGACUGGCAGGGCUAGAGUAUGGCAGAGGGGGGUGAGAAUUCCACGUGUAGCAGUGAAAUGCGUAGAGAUGUGGAGGAAUACCGAUGGCGAAGGCAGCCCCCUCGGCAAGUA